AUUUCAAGGAAUCAAACAACUCCUCAAACAACCCCAACACUGGUCAGAUUCAAAAUUUGAACUUGCAGACAUUACAAGAAAAGAUGUCUUAUUUAUCUUGACCAAAAUAUGAAUUUUACCAUGGAUGUAGAGUUGUGGCCUAAAAAGAGCCAAAGUAUUCUAUUAACAUUAAAAAGUGCAGAUGUAUUAUUCUGAUGACAUAUGACUUAUAAUAAUUGGAUUUGUGAAGAUUGAUGUUUUCAUAUAUUUUGGAUUAAAUCUUCUGAACUGCAUGAUGAAACAAAAGACAAUUGUUUUGUGAUAGGACUGAAGAAUGGACACAUUCAAUCAGACUUGGAGCAUCAUACGAAAGAAAUGGAAAGUUGUCCACUAGGUCAUCAAUCAUCUGCCGAA
Long non-coding RNA from Mytilus trossulus (common blue mussel), 393 nucleotides. RefSeq lists it as uncharacterized. NCBI's taxonomy places the organism in Eukaryota, Metazoa, Mollusca, Bivalvia, Mytilida, Mytilidae. The transcript is spliced from 3 exons. The record is from RefSeq and is a predicted model, not a curated record.